CCUUAUAGGCAGUUUGCUAAAGUUAAAAAAAAACCUCUGGGUUCAGACCACACUGUUUUAUCAGUUUGCAGUUUGUGGUUGUAGCUACAGUAUUUAUACCACUGUGCCAACCAUUUUGAGCUUGUUGGAACUAUGGGAAGUCUUUCAAGUUGCAACCGAAGAAAGAAUAAACCUGAAAACGCUGAUAAUGACCAUCAGAGAGAAACAGCAGACACAAAGACAGAAGAUGUCCUCUAUGCCUCCAUUGACCACAGUGACAUCAGUCCAAACAAACCUGUUCGAGACGUGGAUGACAACGAUUGUGAUUAUGCUGUUGUAAUGCUUCCUCAAAACAUAGACUCGGCCAAGCUAAAAAGCAACGAGGAUUGUUCAGAUGAUUAUGUACUCAUGGGCUGAGCACUGAGAUGCUCCUGUGGCUGAAAUUUGCACAUUCAGCUGGAAUGGACACCUAAGAUACAUAAGCACAACUUUAACAGCUUGUUAACUUUGUAUAGGUUGCAAUGAAAUUCAGCUUUUUAAAAUUUGUAUUUAUUUGUUUUAUUUUUCUUUUCUUCUCUUUUUGAAUAAUUAUUUCAUUUCUGGUCUGUUUUUGUUACUUUAUGUUUACAGCAUUAAGUUAAAUAUGUUAAAGACUUGAUAUUUUGAAGCAUAAUAAGUAAUUACAACCUUUACAUGCACAGUGAAUAAAAGUGCAAUUAUAUCUGUCUUCCUACAGUAUAUGUGUGUUUUAUAAAUGAUAAUAGUGAUUUGUAUAAUGAAACUCAAGAGAGAUUUACAUUUUUAUAGACUAAAACCCUAAAGAAUAAUAAUCAGUAGGUGACUGUAAAGUGUCAUUAAAGAAGAGUUACAUGUGUUUGAUAAGAGAAAUUACUAAUUUACAUUGUUGUAUAACAACUGUCUGCUUAAUGCAUAAAUGUAAAUGUAUAAAACAGAGAGAAAUUGUCAUUAUAUUUUACUCAAUUUAAAGAUGCAACUAGCCAGAAACAUACUUCGAUGAAACAGCACAGUAUUUAUGUGGGACCAGGGCUAGUUGUCACAUUUUCAGGAACACAUGUUAGGUAAAAAAUGUUAGCCUGAAUGCACUGUAAGUCGCUUUGGAUAAAAGCAUCUGCUAAAUGCAUAAAUGUAAAUGUAAAUGUACAUGUAAGUUACACAAGUGUUUUCUUUGGUUGUUUUGCAUGAAGGGUUUCCAUCACAUACUACAAAACCCUCUUAAAUUAUUAUUUUUAUAAUUAUUAUUUCUGUCCUCCAAACUAAAAUUCCAGUAUCCUCAUGUGUUAGGUAACAAGUGAAUAUAAUAAUACCACAUUCAUUCAGACAAGAGUCAGUUAUAUAAUGAUAUAUGAUGAAGGAAACGUGACAGUUGUCACAUUUUUGUUGGGGCAAGUAUUCGCAUACAUUUCAUAUUUUGUAAUAUUAUAAUAGUAAUGUAAUUUUAUUUGAGAUUCAUGAAUAAUUUGUGCAUAAUUUUUUCACUGUUUACAUUUCGAAAAACCUACACUAUUGUUUACUGGCAGAAUACACGGUCAACCUGCCCCACUGUUAAUAAUAAGUUUUAUGUGCCUUUUGCAAGCUUAAGGUCACUAUUUGGUCACCAUGUGUUCAGUGUACAUUUUUUCCUAGAUAAUAAUGAUAGACAUGUUUAAACAGCUUUUAUUAUUAUUAUUAUUAUUAUUUAUUGUUUUUAGUUUUUUUUUUUUUAUUUGUAUUUUUUGCAUGCUUUACAGACCUGUUAAAGGAAUACUUCACAUAAAAAUGUAAAUUUGCUGAAAAUGUACGCACCCUCAGACCACUCAAGAUGUAUAUGAGUUUGUUUCUUCUUCAAAUUUAGAAAAAUUUGUCAUUACAUUACUUGUUCACCAUUGGAUCCUCUGUAGUGAAUGGGUGCCGUCAGAAAGAGAGUCCAAACAGCUGAUAAAAACAUCACAAUUAUCCACAAGUAAUCCGCUCAAUUCCAGUCCAUCAGUUAACGUUGUGUGAAGUGAAAAGCUGCAUGUUUGUAAUAAACAAACACAUCAUUAAGAUGUUUUUAACCUUAAACUUUCACUUCUGGCUAAAAUACGAGUCCUCUAUUCAUAAUAUUAUUUUCUCCAGUGAAGAAGUCAUGUCUCCUGAAUCAGAAGAGAAAUAUGCACAGAUCAAGCACUGUUUACAAGCAAAAUAGUACAAAACAGUUGUAAAUAAUAUCUUGGUGGAUUUUUCAUGUUAUUAUGGAGGAUGGACUUGUUUUUAGAAACAUCUCGGUUACGUAUGUAACCUUGGUUCUCUGAAUAUGGAACGAGAUGCUGUGAUGGCAUCAUGGGGAACACCUCCAGUGUGACGAAUGUCUGAAGCCCUUAUACCAUCACACCAAUUCAUUGGCCAAUAGCGCUUAGCACUGCCCCGAGCAUGUGUCACGUAUGCUCAUAUAUGCGUGCUGCAUGCUAUUUCAUCAGAUAUUCCACAUGACGAAGUAAGCGCUAUCAAAGGUACAGAACGGCCAGAAUCGCAGCACCUCUUUUCCUAUUCAGGGAACCAAGGUUACAUACAUAACAGAGAUGUUUCCUUUCAGAGGUUCACUUCAAUGCUGCGAUGGCGUCAUCGCUAUGGGAAUGCAAUACAAUAAUGCCUGAAGUAUCUAAGAUAGCUGGAAGACCGAGGAAAGAGUCUGCUCAAGUGGAAGAGACCUGGGAGCCAAGAGCUAUCCUCACAUCCAGACAAGGAGAACUUGAUGAAAGUGCUAGGAGAGGACUAACCUGCCACAGCACAGACAUCUCCCAUCGAAGGCCCUUUAAAGAGAGCCUGAGAAGAAGCUAUUGCUCUCGUAGAAUGAGCACGUGCCUCUAGAGACAAAAUCACACCACACGCCUCAUAGGCUAGAGAUAUAGUGACUAUCUGACACCGCAUAGUAGGGGAGAAAGCCUCCAACCACUUGCUGAAAGUGAAACAGAGUCGAAGCAGCCUUAGGAUUAACUAAGCCUAGGCAGCAGUAAGACUUAACUUAAAGUCCAUACAAGAGGAGUUGAAAGAGCCUGCAGAUCCUCAGUCCUCUAAGAGAGGAUAGGAUUACCAAAAAACUGCUUAUGGUUCAAAGUUAUCUGACAGACUUAAACGGCUCAAAUUGAUGGCCUGCCAGGCCUUCCAGCCGAAAAAUAAUUCCCAAAAAGGAAUCUGUGCCAUCUCGUCCCUGCAUGAAACAGGAAACCAGAGGGUAACAUCUCACUGAAACACCUCUAUAAUGCUCCAAAUUAUGCUCUGAGCCAUAGUCAACAGGUCGUGUC
Molecule: long non-coding RNA, 3260 nt
Organism: Cyprinus carpio carpio
Lineage: Eukaryota; Metazoa; Chordata; Actinopteri; Cypriniformes; Cyprinidae
Source: Ensembl